This 616-nucleotide ribosomal RNA is filed under the name uncultured Legionella sp. RNAcentral's name for it is "bacterial SSU rRNA". It matches the Rfam family "Bacterial small subunit ribosomal RNA", at positions 242 to 849 of the family's 1533-position model. Lineage: Bacteria; Pseudomonadati; Pseudomonadota; Gammaproteobacteria; Legionellales; Legionellaceae. The record is from RNAcentral.
UAGCUAGUUGGUGGGGUAAGGGCCUACCAAGGCGACGAUCGGUAGCUGGUCUGAGAGGAUGACCAGCCACACUGGAACUGAGACACGGUCCAGACUCCUACGGGAGGCAGCAGUGGGGAAUAUUGGACAAUGGGGGCAACCCUGAUCCAGCAAUGCCGCGUGUGUGAAGAAGGCCUGAGGGUUGUAAAGCACUUUCAGUGGGGAGGAGGGUUGAUAGGUUAAGGGCUAAUUAACUGGACGUUACCCACAGAAGAAGCACCGGCUAACUCCGUGCCAGCAGCCGCGGUAAUACGGAGGGUGCGAGCGUUAAUCGGAAUUACUGGGCGUAAAGGGUGCGUAGGUGGUUGAUUAAGUUAUCUGUGAAAUUCCUGGGCUUAACCUGGGACGGUCAGAUAAUACUGGUUGACUCGAGUAUGGGAGAGGGUAGUGGAAUUUCCGGUGUAGCGGUGAAAUGCGUAGAGAUCGGAAGGAACACCAGUGGCGAAGGCGGCUACCUGGCCCAAUACUGACACUGAGGCACGAAAGCGUGGGGAGCAAACAGGAUUAGAUACCCUGGUAGUCCACGCUGUAAACGAUGUCAACUAGCUGUUGGUUAUAUGAAAAUAAUUAGUGGCGC